RNAcentral lists this transfer RNA (77 nucleotides) under Porphyromonadaceae bacterium COT-184 OH4590. Its description in RNAcentral is "tRNA-Arg". It matches the Rfam family "tRNA". From Rfam's summary of the family: Transfer RNA (tRNA) molecules are approximately 80 nucleotides in length. The record is from RNAcentral. Lineage: Bacteria; Pseudomonadati; Bacteroidota; Bacteroidia; Bacteroidales; Porphyromonadaceae. RNAcentral also lists the same sequence under 1 other name.
GGUCCGGUAGCUCAGCUGGAUAGAGCAACAGCCUUCUAAGCUGUGGGUCAGGGGUUCGAAUCCCUUCCGGAUCACAA